This 465-nucleotide ribosomal RNA is filed under the name uncultured bacterium. RNAcentral's name for it is "partial 16S ribosomal RNA". It matches the Rfam family "Bacterial small subunit ribosomal RNA", at positions 28 to 507 of the family's 1533-position model. The record is from RNAcentral.
GACGAACGCUGGCGGCGUGCUUAACACAUGCAAGUCGAACGGAAAGGCCCCUUCGGGGGUACUCGAGUGGCGAACGGGUGAGUAACACGUGAGUAACCUGCCCUUGACUUCGGGAUAACUUCAGGAAACUGGGGCUAAUACCGGAUAGGAAUCCUUGCUGCAUGGUGGGGGUUGGAAAGCUUCGGCGGUUUUGGAUGGACUCGCGGCUUAUCAGCUUGUUGGUGGGGGAGUGGCUUACCAAGGCUGUGACGGGUCGCCGGCCUGAGAGGGCGACCGGCCACAUUGGGACUGAGAGACGGCCCAGACGCCGACGGGAGGCAGCAGUGGGGAAUAUUGCACAAUGGGCGGAAGCCUGAUGCAGCAACGCCGCGUGCGGGAUGACGGCCUUCGGGUUGUAAACCGCUUUCAGCAGGGGCGAAGCUUGUGGUGACGGUACCUGCAGAAGAAGCACCGGCUAACUACGUG